CUUACAGAGGAUUUGAUCCUGGUCCAGGAUGAACGCUGGCGGCGUGGAUAAGGCAUGCAAGUCGAACGGAACAAACAAGAAGCUCGUAGUGAAAGUCCGAUGAUAGCAAUAUCUGAAGUCCGGAUCUUUGAGCGACGAAUUUGUUUAGUGGCAAACGAGUCAGUAACGCCUUGGAACCUGCCCCGAAGACGGAAAUAAUUCGCCGAAAGGCGAACUAAUGUCCGAUAGUCUCGCAAGAGUAACGGGAACCCGCAAGGGAACCGCUUCGGGAGGGGCCUAGGUCCGAUCAGCUAGUUGGUAGGGUAACGGCCUACCAAGGCUAUGACCGGUAGGGGGCCCGAGAGGGUGUUCCCCGACGAUGCAACUGAGACACGGUGCAUACUCCUACGGGAGGCAGCAGUCGAGAAUAUUCGACAAUGGGCGAAAGCCUGAUCGAGCGACGCCGCGUGCAGGAAGAAGGCCUUCGGGUCGUAAACUGCGGUAGCAGGGGAAGAACUUCGGUGACGGUACCCUGCGGAAAGAGGCGGGUAACUACGUGCCAGCACCAGCGGUAAUACGUAGACCUCGAGCGUUAUCCGGAUUUAUUGGGCGUAAAGCGUGUGUAGGAGGUUCGGGAAGUCUGAUGUCAAAUCUCAGGGCCUAACCCUGAGGCCGCAUUGGAUACUGCCGGACUAGAGGAUGUGAGAGGUUGAUGGAACGCACGGUGUAGGGGUGACAUCCGUUGAUAUCGUGCGGAACACCAAAGGCGAAGGCAGUCAACUGGAACAUUCCUGACUCUGAGACACGAAAGCGUGGGGAGCAAAAAGGAUUAGAUACCCUUGUAGUCCACGCCGUAAACGAUGCCUGCUGGCUGUUUCGAGUAUCGACCCUCGGAGUGGCGAAGCUAACGCGUUAAGCAGGCCGCCUGGGAAGUACGAGCGCAAGCUUAAAACUCAAAGGAAUAGACGGGGACUCGCACAAGCG
Non-coding RNA from Candidatus Liptonbacteria bacterium GWC1_60_9, 963 nucleotides. The record is from Rfam. NCBI's taxonomy places the organism in Bacteria, Candidatus Liptoniibacteriota.